UGGGGAAUAUUGCACAAUGGGGGAAACCCUGAUGCAGCGACGCCGCGUGAGCGAAGAAGGUUUUCGAAUCGUAAAGCUCUGUCCUAUGGGAAGAUAAUGACGGUACCAUAGGAGGAAGCCCCGGCUAACUACGUGCCAGCAGCCGCGGUAAUACGUAGGGGGCAAGCGUUGUCCGGAAUCACUGGGCGUAAAGGGUUCGCAGGCGGAAAUGCAAGUCAGUUGUGAAAGGCAGAGGCUCAACCUCUGUAAGCAAUUGAAACUGUAUUUCUUGAGAUGUGGAGAGGCAAGUGGAAGUCCUAGUGUAGCGGUGAAAUGCGUAGAGAUUAGGAAGAAUACCGGUGGCGAAGGCGACUUGCUGGACACAAACUGACGCUGAGGAACGAAAGCGUGGGUAGCAAACAGG
RNAcentral lists this ribosomal RNA (403 nucleotides) under Fusobacteriota bacterium. Its description in RNAcentral is "Fusobacteria bacterium partial 16S ribosomal RNA". It matches the Rfam family "Bacterial small subunit ribosomal RNA", at positions 355 to 776 of the family's 1533-position model. Lineage: Bacteria; Fusobacteriati; Fusobacteriota. The record is from RNAcentral.